UGAUUAGGGUGGACUACAAGAGACACUACUGUGGAAAACCUGGAAGGCAAAAGUGAAGCAGCAGCCAUUUUGUAGCUGACCCGUAUUGUCUCUGAUCUACUGACUCACCUCAUUGGCAUGAAGCAGUGGCCACAUCUGAAACUACUCCGUCAUCCCCUGGAUCUUUCUUCAGCUUCUCUUACUCCUUGGCCAGGCCGCUGUUAGGGGAGAGGAUUUGGUGAUUUAUAGAAGAAGAGAGAAAUACGGAAGAAGAAAAGAGGAGAGAAAAAGUGAAGAAAGACAAAUCCAGAUGAUCUUGGAAGCACACUUCCUCCCAUUUGGGAGCUCAGCAAGAUACUAAUAACAGCUGAGGAAACAUCAGAUAAACCCAGAUGGAGAAACAUUCUGAAAAAGAACUGACCUUACUCUUCAAGAAUAUCAAUGGCAAGAAAAACUCAGGAAGUGUUCCAGACUAAAGGAGACAAAAGUGACAGUUGAAGGCAAUGCGUGACUAGAAAUAUCCUUUUGCUAUAAAGAAUAUUAAUGAGGUAAUUGGUGGAAUCUGAAUAAAAUCCAUAGAUUGUUAAUUAUAUUGCAUAAGUGUUAAUUUCCUGGUUUUGUUCAUUGUAAAGUGGUUAUAUAAGAGAAUGCAUUGGUUUGUAGAAAUAUAUACUAACAUACUUAGGGGAAAGGGCAUCAAUCAAGUUACUAAUUACUCUCAAAUGAGAGAGCCAGAGAAUAAACAAAUGAAGUAAAAUGUUAAUAUUUUGGAAAUCUGGGUGAAAAGGAUUCAGAAAGUUUUCAUAAUAUUUUUUCAACUUUUUUAUCAGUCUGAAUUUUGUCAAAAAUUUUUUAAAGUGA
This is a long non-coding RNA of Symphalangus syndactylus (siamang), 840 nucleotides long. RefSeq lists it as uncharacterized. The record is from RefSeq and is a predicted model, not a curated record. Lineage: Eukaryota; Metazoa; Chordata; Mammalia; Primates; Hylobatidae.